RNAcentral lists this ribosomal RNA (484 nucleotides) under uncultured bacterium. RNAcentral's name for it is "partial 16S ribosomal RNA". It matches the Rfam family "Bacterial small subunit ribosomal RNA", at positions 30 to 507 of the family's 1533-position model. The record is from RNAcentral.
AUUGAACGCUGGCGGCAGGCCUAACACAUGCAAGUCGAGCGGAUGAAGGGAGCUUGCUCCUGGAUUCAGCGGCGGACGGGUGAGUAAUGCCUAGGAAUUUGCCUGGUAGUGGGGGAUAACGUCCGGAAACGGGCGCUAAUACCGCAUACGUCCUGCGGGAGAAAGUGGGGGGUCUUCGGACCUCACGCUCUCAGAUGAGCCUAGGUCGGAUUAGCUAGUUGGUGGGGUAAAGGCCUACCAAGGCGACGAUCCGUAACUGGUCUGAGAGGAUGAUCAGUCACACUGGAACUGAGACACGGUCCAGACUCCUACGGGAGGCAGCAGUGGGGAAUAUUGGACGAUGGGCGAAAGCCUGAUCCAGCCAUGCCGCGUGUGUGAAGAAGGUCUUCGGAUUGUAAAGCACUUUAAGUUGGGAGGAAGGGCAGUAAGUUAAUACCUUGCUGUUUUGACGUUACCAACAGAAUAAGCACCGGCUAACUUCGUG